Molecule: long non-coding RNA, 916 nt
Organism: Acanthopagrus latus (yellowfin seabream)
Lineage: Eukaryota; Metazoa; Chordata; Actinopteri; Spariformes; Sparidae
Exons: 5
Source: RefSeq, a predicted model, not a curated record
UCAACUGCAGCGGAAAGAAAUAAUACAGUUGUGUUCUAGAUGCCUUUUUUUUAACAAUCACCUGGAUUUUCAUCUCAUGUAACUUUUGUCUAAAAGGAUUAAACCCUGGGUCUCCAACAGGGGCCCGUGACCCCCUCUGUAGAAUCAAAAGUUAAGACAUCAUGAAGGCACGUAGGCCUCUGGAUAAAUGUUUUUCAGGUACCAAGGGAAGUCUCUGCAUUUUAGUCUCUUUCUGAGUUCACGGCGUUUGGUCACGUCUCCAAAUGAGUUCUGAGGGGAAAAUGAAAGCAAGAUAUGGUGAACUGCAUUUCGGUUUCGACGAUAAAAGGCAAAUUUGUAGUCGUCCAUCCAGACCUCAGCAAGGCGGACCAGGUUGCGGGUGAUUGCAUAGCUUGCGUUGGUGAAUGUGUGGGGACUUUUUUUGCGGAAAAUGUGCCCUACGAUAGAACAAGGAAUGAUCUCCAGCUGACCUCCACAUUGCCAGACCUGAAGUAGACAGUAGCACAAGUCCAGAGAUGGGAAUAUAUGGAUUUUGCACUGGUGCACUUUGAAGAUACUCACCAUCUGUGCUGGCGUCAUCCACCAGUAAGACCUCUGUGAGCAGGGCGGCAGGAGCUGUGUGCAACACACUGUAGACCGUCCUCAGCAGAGUGGACCAGGCCUCAUUAUGAAACACUAUGAUCACACUGGUGGUGGGGAGGCCAGGACAACGCAGAAACUUCUGUUCAAGGCAGCUGUCAGAGUGAAACUGACAGUUAACGGGAAGAUCAAGAAUAAAAUUUAACAAAUGUGGCUCAAAGGCUUUGCCGUCAGCACCCGGUGCCGUGGGAUCUUGGGGAGGCCUCUGCAUGUGAGGCUUGAGCUCCUCUUUAGCGUAAAAGCCAGGUGGACAGUCGGCAUAUGGCGAUGGGACAAG